GAUGAACGCUGGCGGCGUGCCUAAUACAUGCAAGUCGAGCGAACAGACGAGGAGCUUGCUCCUCUGACGUUAGCGGCGGACGGGGGAGUAACACGUGGAUAACCUACCUAUAAGACUGGGAUAACUUCGGGAAACCGGAGCUAAUACCGGAUAAUAUAUUGAACCGCAUGGUUCAAUAGUGAAAGACGGUUUUGCUGUCACUUAUAGAUGGAUCCGCGCCGCAUUAGCUAGUUGGUAAGGUAACGGCUUACCAAGGCAACGAUGCGUAGCCGACCUGAGAGGGUGAUCGGCCACACUGGAACUGAGCCACGGUCCAGACUCCUACGGGAGGCAGCAGUAGGGAAUCUUCCGCAAUGGGCGAAAGCCUGACGGAGCAACGCCGCGUGAGUGAUGAAGGUCUUCGGAUCGUAAAACUCUGUUAUUAGGGAAGAACAAAUGUGUAAGUAACUAUGCACGUCUUGACGGUACCUAAUCAGAAAGCCACGGCUAACUACGUG
Molecule: ribosomal RNA, 497 nt
Filed under: uncultured bacterium
Lineage: Bacteria
Description: partial 16S ribosomal RNA
Rfam family: Bacterial small subunit ribosomal RNA
Source: RNAcentral